This is a long non-coding RNA of Herpailurus yagouaroundi (jaguarundi), 733 nucleotides long. RefSeq lists it as uncharacterized. Lineage: Eukaryota; Metazoa; Chordata; Mammalia; Carnivora; Felidae. The transcript has 3 exons. The record is from RefSeq and is a predicted model, not a curated record.
UUAUUGAGAUAUGAUUUACAUCAAAAGUAAAAUUCACCCUUUUCAGUAUGCAGUUCUAUGAAUUUUGACAAACACAUACAGUUGUGUAACCACCAUCAUAAUCAAGAUACAGAACGUUUCCACCACCCCUAAAGGUUUCUUCAUGCCCUUCUGUGGGCACCCCCCUCCCUGCACCCCCAGGCCCUGGCAACCACUGAUCUGUUUUCUAUCCCUAUAGUUUUGCCCUUUCCAGAAUGACAAGACAUAUUCUUUACAACACUUACAUAAAAUAGCCAAAGGCCUCUUCCAACUCGCACACAACGCUGUGUGUUCAGUUGCCUUAUGACCCUCUUGCGUAUGCUAGGAGGGAGAACCCAGAGUCUGAGGCUUACAAAGGGCAAGAAAAUUCACUGCAGCCUGAGAAGCCUACGCAUGGUCUCCUGAGAGCAGGACACAUCCUGGUGGGAGGGGGAGCCGCUCUUUAAAGUCCAAAAACAAAGGCCUCAUUUUAAACUGUCCCCGUGUAAACCUCCCAGCUUCCUCUUCCCUGACUGCACAGCAUUAGACACAACUAGGUUUCCUUCCGGUUUAGAUGAAUUUCUGGGUUAAAGGAAAACGUGAAUUACUGUGGCUGGAACUGGAUAUAGAUGAGUAAGAAAAUUCUGCUAGGCUAAGAAGCUUGAGUUUCAGUAGAAUAGUCUUCCUGUCAGAUCUGGCUUGACCUCACACUGAUCGGUAAAGCACACCUCUGAAC